CACUGGAUUUUAGGAAAUUAGGAUUUAUAAUAAUGUUAAUACUAAACUACCCCUAUAAAAACUGAAUUAUUGAUUAACUAAAAAUAAAUAUUAAUCUUCUUAACACUAAAAAAAGAAAUACUAAUUCCCGUGAUUAACUAUAAUCCCUCAUUAACAAAAAGAUACCCUAAUCCCUCAAUUUUCUUCUUCGUCGCCUAACUCCUUCCCUCUUUUACCAUGGCUUUUUUUGGAACACCUUCUACCAUGGCUAAAUCACUAUUCUAUCUCUCCUAGCUUCUUCCUCUUCGUCAAUGAUGUUACUAAAGUGGAGACAGUGACACUGAACGAGAUUCACAAAUUCUUAGAAAAUGAGUCACCACAGGUCGCUAGCUUCAUCUGCACUGCAACAAUAACGGAAGUCAUGGAAGAAUAUGGUUGGUACUUCAUCUCCUGCACCGCCUGCAAGUAGCAACUGGAAAGGUCAGAAACAUCUUUCAUUUGCCCUAACUCCAAGUGCA
Raphanus sativus (radish) is the source of this 497-nucleotide long non-coding RNA. RefSeq lists it as uncharacterized. NCBI's taxonomy places the organism in Eukaryota, Viridiplantae, Streptophyta, Magnoliopsida, Brassicales, Brassicaceae. The transcript is spliced from 3 exons. The record is from RefSeq and is a predicted model, not a curated record.